UAGUCAGGUAGCUAGAAGGCCUACGAAAGCGACUUCCAGUCUGAGCCAUCCCGGGACAUCGGACGUCUUCGGUUUUCCAUGUGUAGCCCUUGCGGCACGCCAUCAAGCAACGACUGGGUUGCGCUCUCAACCAGCAAGGUGUGCUACUUUGUAGAGUGUUGGGUUUUGUCCAAAGAGCAUGGGAUGGUGUAGUAAAUUAGUAACAAGUAUUUUACUUAGUUAAGAACCAAGGUUAUCGAACCAAUAGGAAG
RNAcentral lists this long non-coding RNA (251 nucleotides) under Hordeum vulgare. Its description in RNAcentral is "long non-coding RNA (HVUL_LNC008423)". Lineage: Eukaryota; Viridiplantae; Streptophyta; Magnoliopsida; Poales; Poaceae. The record is from RNAcentral.